CGGAGAGUUUGAUCCUGGCUCAGAGUGAACGCUGGCGGCGUGGAUUAGGCAUGCAAGUCGAGCGAUCCCCGCAAGGGGAUAGCGGCAAACGGGUUAGUAACACGUGAGGAAUUUGCCUCGAAGUCGAACACAGCUCCGUGAAAACGGGGGUAAUAUUCGAUGGUGUCCUGUCAUCGCAUGGUGACAGGAUUAAAGAUGGGGACCGCAAGGCCUAUCACUUCGGGAUGACCUCGCGUCCUAUCAGCUAGUUGGUGGGGUAAUGGCCUACCAAGGCUUUUGACGGGUAGCUGGUCUGAGAGGACGAUCAGCAACACUGGGACUGAGACACUGCCCAGACUCCUACGGGAGGCUGCAGUCGAGAAUCUUUAGCAAUGGGCGCAAGCCUGACUAUGCGACGCCGCGUGCAGGAUGAAGGCUUUCGGGUUGUAAACUGCUUUUGUCAGGAAAGAAAGCUCUACAUCAUAACAUGGUGCAGGGUAGACGGUACCUGACGAAUAAGCCACGGCCAACUCCGUGCCAGCAGCCGCGGUAAUACGGAGGUGGCGAGCGUUACUCGGAAUCAUUGGGUGUAAAGGGCAAGUAGGCGGCCAAUUAAGUGAGGGGUGAAAUCUUCCGACUCAAUCGGAAAACCGCCUUUCAUACUGAUCGGCUUGAGGUCAGAAGAGGGAAACGGAAUUAGCAGUGUAAGGGUGAAAUCUGUAGAUAUUGCUAAGAACACCAGCGGCGAAGGCGGUUUCCUGGUCUAGACCUGACGCUGAAUUGCGAAAGCUAGGGGAGCAAACAGAAUUAGGUACUCUGGUAGUCCUAGCCGUAAACGAUGAGCACUAGGUGUUGGCCCUUCUAGGGUCAGUGCCGCAGCUAACGCAUUAAGUGCUCCACCUGGGGACUACGGCCGCAAGGCUAAAACUCAAAGGAAUUGACGGGGACCCGCACAAGCGGUGGAACAUGUGGUUUAAUUCGAUGCUACGCGAAGAACCUCACCAAGGCUUGACAUACAGGAAGUAGUGAACUGAAAGGGGAACCACCCGUUAAGUCGGGAGCCUGUACAGGUGCUGCAUGGCUGUCGUCAGCUCGUGUCGUGAGAUGUUCGGUUAAGUCCGAAAACGAGCGCAACCCUCGGGUCUAGUUACACGUGUCUAGACCGACUGCCCGUGAGAAAC
This 1160-nucleotide ribosomal RNA is filed under the name Candidatus Lloydbacteria bacterium. RNAcentral describes it as "bacterial SSU rRNA". It matches the Rfam family "Bacterial small subunit ribosomal RNA", at positions 1 to 1163 of the family's 1533-position model. The record is from RNAcentral. Lineage: Bacteria; Candidatus Lloydiibacteriota.